CGGACGGGUGAGUAAUGCCUGGGAAACUGCCUGAUGGAGGGGGAUAACUACUGGAAACGGUAGCUAAUACCGCAUAACGUCGCAAGACCAAAGAGGGGGACCGUUAGGGCCUCUUGCCAUCGGAUGUGCCCAGAUGGGAUUAGCUAGUAGGUGGGGUAACGGCUCACCUAGGCGACGAUCCCUAGCUGGUCUGAGAGGAUGACCAGCCACACUGGAACUGAGACACGGUCCAG
Molecule: ribosomal RNA, 233 nt
Filed under: uncultured bacterium
Lineage: Bacteria
Description: partial 16S ribosomal RNA
Rfam family: Bacterial small subunit ribosomal RNA
Source: RNAcentral